UACGGGGGGGCGAGCGUUGUUCGGAAUUACUGGGCGUAAAGGGCGCGUAGGCGGUUCGCUAAGUUGGAUGUGAAAACUCUGGGCUCAACCCAGAGCCUGCAUCCAAAACUGGCGGGCUAGAGUUCUGGAGGGGGUAGCGGAAUUCCUGGUGUAGCGGUGAAAAUGCGUAGAUAUCGGAAGGAACACCAGUGGCGAAAGCGGCUUCCUGGUCCAGCACCGACGUCAGGCACGAAAGCGUGGGGAGCAAACAGG
RNAcentral lists this ribosomal RNA (252 nucleotides) under uncultured bacterium. RNAcentral describes it as "partial 16S ribosomal RNA". It matches the Rfam family "Bacterial small subunit ribosomal RNA", at positions 524 to 776 of the family's 1533-position model. The record is from RNAcentral.